This 387-nucleotide unclassified non-coding RNA is filed under the name soil metagenome. Its description in RNAcentral is "partial contains 5.8S ribosomal RNA, internal transcribed spacer 2, and large subunit ribosomal RNA". The stretch from base 1 to 120 matches the Rfam family "5.8S ribosomal RNA", at positions 35 to 154 of the family's 154-position model. The record is from RNAcentral.
GAUGAAGAACGUAGCGAAAUGCGAUAAGUAAUGUGAAUUGUAGAAUUCAGUGAAUCAUCGAAUCUUUGAACGCACCUUGCGCUCCUUGGUAUUCCGAGGAGCAUGCCUGUUUGAGUGUCAUGAAAUUCUCAACCUUUUCAGCUUUCUUUGUUGAUCAGGCUUGGAUGUGGGAGUAUGCGGGCUUCUCAGAAGUCGGCUCUCCUGAAAUGCAUUAGCGGGACCUUUGUUGCCUGGCUUUGGUGUGAUAAUUAUCUACGCCAUUGUAGUCAAGCAGCUUAAAAUGAGGUUUCAGCUUCUAACCGUCUCCCCUGAGACAACUUUUUGACAAUUUGACCUCAAAUCAGGUAGGACUACCCGCUGAACUUAAGCAUAUCAAUAAGCGGAGGA